Non-coding RNA from Paramisgurnus dabryanus, 1555 nucleotides. The record is from RefSeq and is a predicted model, not a curated record. Lineage: Eukaryota; Metazoa; Chordata; Actinopteri; Cypriniformes; Cobitidae.
CUUCAACUGGAUGUAAAGUGCUUUUAUAGUUGAAACAUGUUACUCACAAACAUGUCAAACACAAAAUUGUAUAUUGAGAAUAAAGAUCAACAUAUACAAAACUAUCAGUGAUGUGUAGGUCAAUGUACACUGUAAAAAAUUGCUGUAAAAAAACGGGGAAUUUUGGACAGUAAUUUACCGUUUCUCAUAAAUACAGUUGAAUACUGUAAAUAAACAUUAAUAUGACAAACAAAAUAAUAACAGCAAGCUCCUGUUCAGUCUUACGGGAUAAUACAGUAUUUUUUGGUUUGGUCAGGCAUGUCAGACAUGUGACGAGCUCAUCUGCAACCAUGAGUAAAACUGAUUUAACUACACUGUUUUUCUGCAUUUUAUUAUACGAGAAGGAAGCAGAAUUAAAGACUGUCUAUCCAUUUUCACUCCGAUUGUGACCCUACCAGCACUGAGACGGACGACGAAUUCACUUGUUUUUUACUCCUCGCCUGUAUAUCAAGGUAAGCACAAACUGAACAGAGUCUGUGUUUCUAAGUGAAAUAAUUGACAAAAUGUUAUAUAUAUUUGCUUAUUUUUGAAAUAUUUCUAAAAACGAUUUAUUUGAUUUUGACAUAUUUAGGGCAGAUUGUUAAACGAAUUGGCAACUAGCUAUAUAGGUUAAAUACAAAUAAAGAUGCUAAUGUUAAUUUGCAAUCUAAUCAAAUGUCUGACUGAUGUGCGAUUAUCUAUUGAUAUUUUUUUUAAAUCUACAUGAGGGAUUGGGCUCUGUUUCACCAUUUGUUUGUAUCUUUUUUCAAUGUGUGCACUUUUAAUCUUUGUACAGCGCCUCGUGAAUGUGUUAACAUUUAGCCUAGUCCCAUUCAUUCCUAUGGCUCCAAACAGGGAUGAAUUUAGAAGCCACCAAACACUUGCAUGUUUUCCCUAUUUAAAGACUGUUACAUGAGUAGUUACACAAGUAAGUUUGGCACAAAAUAAAACUUUUGUUUGGAGCCAUUGGAAUGAUUGGGGCUAGGCUAAACGCUACAUUCACGAGGCACUGUAAAAGAUGAAGUGCACGCAUUGAAAAAAGAUAGGGCUGUAUUAAUUCGUCUAAGUUGAGGUAAGAACAUAGUAAAAUAUUGAAAACGGCUAGUCCAAGGCUGAUACUGCUGGUUGCUGGUGAUGAAGUAACAUUUGGAGGUUGGAUGAUCAGCAGUGAAAACAUCAUCAUCUGUGAAGGCAAGAUGAAGCUGCGAGGACACUGGAGUUUGUUCAAAGAUGCUUAAUUGGUGUGAACCCUAAGAGGUGAACAAAAGCCAGGCAGGUGAAGGUGUCCGAGAAGACAGGAAAGCUUGUCCAGAAAAACGCAGCAACUGUUAAUCCCCAUGUGACCACCCUCAUCAAAAACUUCAUGGACUUUGAGUGGCUUUCACAUUGUAUGCUGCAAUGUUGUGAUAUUUAUGUGACAUCACAGCAUUAUGUUUUAUUCAGCCCAGUCUCAUUAGUGAGGCAGAAACUGACAUUUAAGAAUGCACUGAAUUUUGUUAUAUUUAAUAAAAACAGUGUUUUAUCAUCAUCCUUUGUU